UGAAGAAUAUUGGACAAUGGGCGCAAGCCUGAUCCAGCCAUGCCGCGUGCAGGAUGACGGUCCUAUGGAUUGUAAACUGCUUUUAUACAGGAAGAAACACUACUUCGUGAAGUAGCUUGACGGUACUGUAAGAAUAAGGAUCGGCUAACUCCGUG
RNAcentral lists this ribosomal RNA (155 nucleotides) under uncultured bacterium. RNAcentral describes it as "partial 16S ribosomal RNA". It matches the Rfam family "Bacterial small subunit ribosomal RNA", at positions 355 to 507 of the family's 1533-position model. The record is from RNAcentral.